GAACGCUGGCGGCAGGCCUAACACAUGCAAGUCGAGCGGAUGAAGGGAGCUUGCUCCUGGAUUCAGCGGCGGACGGGUGAGUAAUGCCUAGGAAUCUGCCUGGUAGUGGGGGAUAACGUCCGGAAACGGGCGCUAAUACCGCAUACGUCCUGAGGGAGAAAGUGGGGGAUCUUCGGACCUCACGCUAUGAGAUGAGCCUAGGUCGGAUUAGCUAGUUGGUGGGGUAAAGGCCUACCAAGGCGACGAUCCGUAACUGGUCUGAGAGGAUGAUCAGUCACACUGGAACUGAGACACGGUCCAGACUCCUACGGGAGGCAGCAGUGGGGAAUAUUGGACAAUGGGCGAAAGCCUGAUCCAGCCAUGCCGCGUGUGUGAAGAAGGUCUUCGGAUUGUAAAGCACUUUAAGUUGGGAGGAAGGGCAGUAAGUUAAUACCUUGCUGUUUUGACGUUACCAACAGAAUAAGCACCGGCUAACUUCGUG
RNAcentral lists this ribosomal RNA (481 nucleotides) under uncultured bacterium. Its description in RNAcentral is "partial 16S ribosomal RNA". It matches the Rfam family "Bacterial small subunit ribosomal RNA", at positions 31 to 507 of the family's 1533-position model. The record is from RNAcentral.